GAAUCAACGCUGGCGGCGUGCCUAACACAUGCAAGUCGAACGAGAAAGUGGAGCAAUCCACAAGUAAAGUGGCGCACGGGUGAGUAACACGUGACUAACCUACCCUUGAGUGGGGGAUAACCUAGGGAAACCUGGGCUAAUACCGCAUAAUACCUAUGGGUCAAAGGAGCAAUUCGCUUUUGGAGGGGGGUCGCGGCAGAUUAGUUAGUUGGCAGGGUAAUGGCCUACCAAGACGAUGACUGUAUCCGGCCUGAGAGGGCGCACGGACACACUGGAACUGAAACACGGUCCAGACUCCUACGGGAGGCAGCAGUGGGGAAUUUUGCGCAAUGGGGGAAACCCUGACGCAGCAACGCCGCGUGGAGGAUGAAGACCCUUGGGUCGUAAACUCCUUUCGAUCGGGACGAUAAUGACGGUACCGGAAGAAGGAAGCCCCGGCUAACUUCGUGCCAGCAGCCG
Molecule: ribosomal RNA, 459 nt
Filed under: uncultured bacterium
Lineage: Bacteria
Description: bacterial SSU rRNA
Rfam family: Bacterial small subunit ribosomal RNA
Source: RNAcentral